GGUGGCUCAGUGGUAGAGUGCUUGCUUUGCAAGCAUGAGGCCCUGGGUUCGAUUCCUCAGCACCA
Molecule: non-coding RNA, 65 nt
Organism: Dipodomys ordii (Ord's kangaroo rat)
Lineage: Eukaryota; Metazoa; Chordata; Mammalia; Rodentia; Heteromyidae
Source: Rfam